This is a long non-coding RNA of Gadus morhua (Atlantic cod), 2569 nucleotides long. Lineage: Eukaryota; Metazoa; Chordata; Actinopteri; Gadiformes; Gadidae. The record is from Ensembl.
AUGACGACCGUGGUGCUGCUGAAAACCAGAAAGAAGCGUGGUAUCUCGGUCGCCAGGGCAUCUGGUAGUUGGGGAGACGCCGAUCGAACCAGGCGUCGACCUCCGACCUCUCCGUGCUGCUCAGAGCCGUGGGCCAGACGCAUGGCAGCGUCUGACGCCCCACCGCCUCUGGGAGGGUCUCCUGUGGUUGGGGAUAGCGUUAUUUGUAGGUUUGUAGGUGUGUGUUGUGUGUGUGUGUGUGUGUGUGUGUGUGUGUGUGUGUGUGUGUGUGUGUGUGUGUGUGUGUGUGUAUGUAUUGUGUAUGUACGUGUGUGGUGUGUGUGGUUGUGUGUGUGUGUGUGUGUUGUGUGUGGUGUGUGUGUGUGGUGUUGUGUGUGUGUGUGGUUUGUGUGUGUAUGUGUGUAUGUGUGUGUGUGUGAGCACAAUGGCACGCGUGUUUGUGCUUGUGUAUUGGUGUGUGUGUGUGUGUAUGUGUGUGUGUGUGUGUGUGUGGGGGGGGGGGGGGGGUACGUACAGUUUCCAGGAACACGGGUGUGUUAGUAUAGAGGCUGUAGAGGAGACAGAGAUUGGCUCAUCGUCCACAAUGUCAGGACGCCGUAGCAGCUCUCCAAGUUCAGAGGGAGGCAUGGAGUUGACCAGCUAGAGGGAAAGCAGAACACAUGGAGGAAUGCACUCUCCGUCCAGGCACCGUCCUCAGGUACUGAGUAGUCAUGGGCGGGUUGGGGUUAAGGGGGAGGAGCCAAACAUCAGGGGGGUAGAGGGUGCCACUCAAAUGGCCAUAGCUCUACGCUUGCUUACAGUAUUAUCUAAGAAUCAGAUGCUCAAUCAGACACACACACACGCACGCACGCACGCACGGCACGCACGCACGCACGACACACACGCCACACCACGCACACACGCACACACACACCACCACACACACAAAUGUAUACACAUACCUCAGGCUGUCUGCUCUCAGGCAUGAGUGACAGGAAGGUUGUCAGGUUGGGGUACUGGAAGCCCAUGAAACCGGCCGUUUAGGAAACCAUAGAAGCUUUGGUUGUUGUUGUUGUCAUAGCAGCGGAGUGGGGUCGGCUCUAGAAUCAGAUGUUUAGAAUUCACUCAUGAAGUCCAUCAAACUGGAUUUUCUCGGUUUAAACCGUGAUUGGUUGGUUACCUCUUCAGCAGCAGGAUGAUUUGGUCAGUGUAUAUUAUUCAGUGUGGAGUUAUUCAGCGUUGAGAUACUUGAAUUCAGGAUCCCCACUCUGACGAAGACAACAGACAAUAUCUUAACUGCCUGUUCACCGUUCAGUUAAAGGAUUGCAUUCAUCAAGCUUGAAGUAGGGCAAUUCAGUAACGCACACUUUUAUUUGUCAAUUUGUUAAAACAGUUAUAAAUAGUUUAAGACAAUCGUUUCACUAUAACGAUAUGUAGUUUCCAAGCCUACUGCUAGACUCUUACCCAUCUUGUUCUGUACUGCAGUUUCCUCCCGGCCACCAGACUGAAGAAGGGGGCGACGUGGGACGGAGACAAGUCCACCAACAGGGGGCGCAGUCUGUCGUUGAGCCAGACCAGCACCUCCGCAUCGCUCACCGCGGGUUUCGGAGAGGUUGGCGCGGUCAAACACUUGCUGUAACAUGGCUGCCCUGACCGGGGAGGGGAAGCGAUCCUCUUGACCCUGGAGAAAGUCAAGAUGUUAGAAGAAGUUAAAAGCUGAGUUAAGAGUGUUUUAUCUACCCAUAUUAAUGCCAUACUGUACCAUACUAAAGUACAGUACAGUACAAUGGUUUAGUUCUAACUUGUGCAUGGUUUAUGAUGCUAACUUGCCAUUAUUGCAGGUGAGACGUAGUCAAAGAAGGCGUCCAGCUGAGAGCUGGGGACAUUGCCCAACACCAUGUUAACCUGGUCGGGCGUGGUUAGCAGUCCUGGGGUGGAGGACACCUCUGAGAGCUGUCUCACUGUCAGAUAGGGUAGGGCUUCCAGCUGCACGGAGACACAUACACACACACCACACACCACACAAACACACACACACACACACACACACACAGACCACACACACACACACACAACACACACACACACACACACACACCACACACACACACACACACACACACAACACACACACACACACACACACACACCACACAACACACACAGACCACACACACAACACACACACACGCACAAAACACAUUAUAGGUUUAGGGAACUGUCAAGGUGGAUGACAGUGAAGAAAACAAACACAACAAAUCUGUAUUAUUCUGUAUAUUUUUCAUUUCAAAAUGAUGAAGGUGAUUGCAGUAUUGUAGACGGACCGGGGCGAAGUCUGCAUUCAGCAUCUGCAGGCCGCUGACAGAGAUCAGCGCAGAGAAUCCCCCAAAGUUGUUCUGCAGCCAUUGUCCACUGGUUGUGUUAUCUGAACAGUUUGGAUCUGCGCCAGAGGAUACACAGGCCAGCAGUGAUCAUAGAUGUUAUAUACAUUAUAAUGAAGACAUAAAGAACUGCCAAACACCUAUGGUGGUCAUAAAACUGGUCCAAAAUAUGUUCCUGUGUUCAUCAUUGUAUUAGCAGAGAACAAGCC